Molecule: ribosomal RNA, 253 nt
Filed under: uncultured bacterium
Lineage: Bacteria
Description: partial 16S ribosomal RNA
Rfam family: Bacterial small subunit ribosomal RNA
Source: RNAcentral
UACGAAGGGGGCUAGCGUUGUUCGGAAUUACUGGGCGUAAAGCGCGCGUAGGCGGUGAUCUUUGUCAGAGGUGAAAGCCCGGGGCUCAACUCCGGAAUUGCCUUUGAGACUGCAUCGCUAGAAUUGUGGAGAGGUAAGUGGAAUUCCGAGUGUAGAGGUGAAAUUCGUAGAUAUUCGGAAGAACACCAGUGGCGAAGGCGACUUACUGGACACAUAUUGACGCUGAGGUGCGAAAGCGUGGGGAGCAAACAGG